This 497-nucleotide ribosomal RNA is filed under the name uncultured bacterium. Its description in RNAcentral is "partial 16S ribosomal RNA". It matches the Rfam family "Bacterial small subunit ribosomal RNA", at positions 28 to 507 of the family's 1533-position model. The record is from RNAcentral.
GAUGAACGCUGGCGGCGUGCCUAAUACAUGCAAGUCGAGCGAACAGACGCGGCGCUUUCCUCUCGGACGUUAGAGGCGGAAGGGUGAGUAACGCGUGGACAACCUACCUGUAAGUAUGGGAUAAAUUCGGGAAACCGGAGCUAAUACGGGAUAAUAUAUUGAACCGGAUGGUUCAAUGGUGAAAGCCGGUUUUGCUGUCACUUAUAGAUGGAUCAGCGCCGCAUUAGCUAGUUGGUAAGGUAAAGGCUUACCAAGGCGACGAUGCGUAGCCGCCCUGAGAGGGUGAUCGGCCACACUGGGACUGAGACACGGCCCAGACUCCUACGGGAGGCAGCAGUGGGGAAUUUUCGGCAAUGGGCGAAAGCCUGACGGAGCAACGCCGCGUGAGUGAAGAAGGUCUUCGGAUCGUAAAACUCUGUUGUUAGGGAAGAACAAGUGUGUAAGUAACUAUGCGCGUCUUGACGGUACCUAAUCAGAAAGCCACGGCUAACUACGUG